CAGCCGCCACGGGAAUACAGAGGGUGCGAGCGUUAAUCGGAUUUACUGGGCGUAAAGCGUGCGUAGGCGGCUAAUUGAGUCGGAUGUGAAAUCCCCGAGCUUAACUUGGGAAUUGCAUUCGAUACUGGUUAGCUAGAGUGUGGGAGAGGAUGGUAGAAUUCCAGGUGUAGCGGUGAAAUGCGUAGAGAUCUGGAGGAAUACCGAUGGCGAAGGCAGCCAUCUGGCCUAACACUGACGCUGAGGUACGAAAGCAUGGGGAGCAAACAGGAUUAGAUACCCCCGUAGUCCCUGUCUCUUAUAC
This 301-nucleotide ribosomal RNA is filed under the name uncultured bacterium. Its description in RNAcentral is "partial 16S ribosomal RNA". It matches the Rfam family "Bacterial small subunit ribosomal RNA", at positions 509 to 807 of the family's 1533-position model. The record is from RNAcentral.